Cavia porcellus (domestic guinea pig) is the source of this 3982-nucleotide long non-coding RNA. RefSeq lists it as uncharacterized. The record is from RefSeq and is a predicted model, not a curated record. The transcript is spliced from 5 exons. NCBI's taxonomy places the organism in Eukaryota, Metazoa, Chordata, Mammalia, Rodentia, Caviidae.
UCACCAAAGCAACCAGGGUCUGUGGAUGCAAAGGGAGACCAUCAACAGAGCAGCACACCCAGGUGACAGGGCAAUCAGCCAGAUCAGGCAUCAGAUAAAAGCCACUUCUAAGUCAGAGUUAAACAGCCAGACCGUAUUUUGCCGAGCAUAUUGGAAGGAAGCAGAGCAAGCUAAAUUUAAAUUCAGCUUUGAAGACUUGCAGAUGUAAAGACUGAACGCUCCAAAAUGUGGGUAGCGAAAGGAGAAGGCUACGCCAGAGCCCCUAAUGCUGAGCAGCAAGGCAGGAGAUGCAGGGAGCCCACUUGAACCUGAACCUGAGCCCAGCGGAGGAAACACAGCCAGGUGCAUCACAGGAAGGCUGGCUGCAGCUAUGCGGGAGACAACGGGGGAGAUUCCUUGAAUACCUGCCUGCAAACCAAGUCAUCUUCAACCAGAGGUGAUUUUGCUCCUCUCUGCCCGUUGCACUGGUCUUUCCUUCUGCCUAAUUUCCCUGGCUAAACCACUGCCAUGGCAUUGCACAGACAGCAAGAGCCGGCGUCAGUCUGGCUUGGACUUGGCGUGGAAGCACUCAGUCUUUCUCCAGACACUCCAAACAUCCAGAAUAAACAGAGGAUACCGAGCAUAUUCUGACACUGCUAUUUUGUCAGUACAAGGUGACAUUAAUAACAGAUGUGUAGUAGAUAGACUCUAAGAUACACUGAGCACGAUAGAAAUCUGAAGAUGAAUUCUCUGACUGGCACCUGCUUUCCAAGGGAAGCUGCCUGCUACAGGGAAGGUGUCCCGAGAAGGGAGGCCAGCUACAGGGCCAUGCAGAUGUUCAGGCAGCCUAUGGAGAAGUUCACUUGGUGAACACUGAGAUCUGCCAGCAAUCACAUGACAGCAUUGGAAAUGGACCUUCCUCCUUCUGAGGAGUAGCUAGCAGCCUUGCUGAGAAGCGACUCCUAUCCAAUUUGGACCUUGAGAUGUGGCUUUUUGGUCAUCCUCCCAAUGAAGCCCUCGGUGAGACACUGCCUGGAUGAAAGGGACGGUGGUCGAGCUUGCUGUCACCGCGCCUCUCAAGAAUGGAACAUUUUGACUGAUACCUCUGCCGUGUCAAGGAUGUGCGUGUUUAAAACCUUGUGAAACCCGAGGUGAGGCAGAAACCCGCAAGGUGCGCCUGGUUUUCCCCUUGCUAGGAAAGAAAGACCAAGCUCAGGGGCUGCUUUCAAACAUUCCUGAGCACACCGCUGGCAUGUAUUUUUCUGACUGUGUUGUGAGCAAGUGGCAGCUUCGGUGCUGGAGGAGGAGGGAAGGCUGGAAGCUCUUUCUCGGUUACCUCUUGUCAAAGCGAUAGCACCUUUCCCUACCCUUGCUGUGUGUGAAGCAUAAAUCAACGCCUCCUCUUAGAGGAGGUAGGAGACAAAGGGAGAUUAUUGAAAAUGACUGACCUUGGAAGCGGCAGAAGGGGGUUACACUAAAUCUGAACACUUCCAGGGACAAAGAAAAAAUCCUAGAAGAAAUGUAGGUUCAGAUAAGUGGAUCCUACAAGGCUGGGGUGAAUCUUUUCUGAGUUUGGAAGCUGGUCCACUGUGAGGUGCUUCCUGGAGUCUCACAUCUUCAUCCAAAGGGACAUGCUGUAAGUAUCACAGGGCUGCAGCCUGGGCCAACACCGUCACCUGUCUUUGGACACCUCUACAAUCUCCUCUAGACAGGCUAUACACAUCCAGUAACCUGGUCACCAACUGUGGAUGCUAAAUGAGCCAUUUGAGUGACAUCAGCUCGGUUUCUCCUCCUCUGUAAAGUGUUUGUUAAGCCUUGUGUGAUGAUUGGAGACGUGAAAGCAGAGAAAUGUGCUUGUCACUAUGCCUGGCCCAUAAUAGGCACUCCUUAGACGUCACCUCUUCGGACGGUUGCCACCAUCACUGCCAUCGUCCUCCUCCAGCCAUUUGAAAACGGUUAUCGCUUUCACCCUUAGUCCUAUGGCUCUUGACACACAUGGUCAGAGCUGUCCCAUUCUCUGAUUUCCCCUCAUUCCUCAUUAAAUCUUCUUUGACAUCAUGCAUCUAUCCUGCAAGAAAUCUCAGAACGGGGCAGAGUGUAUUUUCUUCCCCCUACUUUUUCUUAAAACGGAGCCAAAACAGUUUGCUCUUUCACCAGUAGAUUGCUGUUUGGACAGUCUCUACUCCACGCCAGUUUGGUUUCUAUUCUGAGCAUAACUUUAUUUUCCCCCAUUGAAGGGUGCAGCAAAACGCCUCUUUGUGCAGGGGCCAUUAAGACUGCCCAUUCUUAAAUUAGCUCGGGGAAAAAAAAAAGAAGUGCAUUUUAUAGUCAAGCCAGCAGUAAUUGAACACUGUGACUAUGAGUGGCCCUUGCGGUGUUUGGACGUGGGCCAAAUGUACCUUCUGUCUGUCUCUGACACCGGCAGACAAUAGCGGUAUUAUUUACUGCACUGGCUCUGUGCAAUUCCAAAGGCCAGCUGCGAGAACAAAAGAAUCGCUCACACUUUGCCCAGCCCUACCCUCCACCGGAGGCUCCAGCCAUGUUUUGUAAAUAAUUCACCCUGCCUCCCCAAAUGUUGAAUCAUCUAUUCUUUGCUUCUUUUCUUUGGUGCUGAUCAAGGCUGCAAAGAAAAGGCAGAUCAGUUUUCUGCAUCCUUGGAGGGGAGUGGGGUGAAGGGAGAAAUGGCCAACAGCUCUUUGUUUCCAUAUCUUGGGGUACAGAGCCACCAGGAGAGACCAGCUAGGAGGUGGGCAGCAGGCACGGGGCCUGGGGAAAGGUUGGCAAGGCUCAGCCUCUGCUGGGAAGUCGCGCUCUCCAGGAACACUGCUCAGAGUUUCGCCCGCAGAGCUUCACAAAGAGCUUCAUGUUCACCCAGGCAACACUUCCAGGUUGCCUCAUUCACGGGCAUUGGAUGAUCCUGUCACAAACAACCUGGGCUUUACACCCAUGGAGCAGGGAACAUUGCCAUCGACUUGGCUACGGAUCACAUCCAGAGCUGGAAAGUGGACCCCACUGGCUGGAAUUGCCCAGUGACAUCCCAUUAAUGUGGCGUUCACCAGCAAACAGCCUCAUCAAACAUAAGCAUGAGAGGGAGAGCCUAAGGAGCCCCCCAUCCAGCUUCAGCCACACCUCCACCUCGUAAGCAAGGGAGCCUCAAUGAAGCCUUCUGAAUCUGUCCAGAGCAAUCUGCGCCCCUUAUCACCUUUUCCCACAUUGAGCUGUGUUUUCGCACCUAUUCCUGGGUAUUCAGCUCCUGGCCCUCUGCCCAGGCAUUGGAGCCGGGCCUCUCCUGUGCCUUGGGAUCUGCUGCAUGCUGUUGCUCUGCUCAGAUGGACUGAGGGGCCUCCCUCUUGCAGGCUCGGCCAGUGCAUCUCCAGUGCAACGCCUGUCUCCAGCUGUUUGGCCAACACCUGGCCUGGUAGAGCCCAAAUCGGGCUUCUGCCAGGCCACGAGAUACACCCUGAAUCCCACAGGUUCUAGAAAUUCCACCGGGGGCACUUUCCCAAAUCAGUCAUGCUGAGGAGUCAUAAUGGCUCAUAAAUUAAAGAUUCACAGCUUUUGGACUCUGCUUUUCCCCAUUCGCUUCCCAUGCUCCCCGACACAGGCAGGGCAGGCAGCUCCCUCCCAUUCAGAGGUAAGUUUAUGUGAACUUUCAAAGAUGUUCCAUUAAAGAGAGGAGAAACAAAACCGAAGCACUGCAGCUCUGCGAAUCAGCAGGUGUUUUAGGAUUGCAGGGACAGAGAGGGUGGGAAGCGAUUGAGAACUUUUCUUACCUUGACACUGAAAUGGCUCAACUCCAGCCUCAACCAAGCUUGUGCUGAGCUGCUGGAGUUUCCUUUGACAGUAAGUGCUAGGAGGACUCGGUCUCACUGCGUUGGGCCUUCUGUGAUGGCAGGGAUGUGAUUUUCCUCACUGACCCUGCAUACUCUGGGGCUGAGCCACAUCUCCUUACAGACCAGGUAUUGAAACAAUGAGAGAAUAGACGGAUGGAUGGAUAGAUAGA